GAAACAUCUAAGUACCCCGAGGAAAAGAAAUCAACCGAGAUUCCCCCAGUAGCGGCGAGCGAACGGGGAGCAGCCCAGAGUCUGAAUCAGCUUGUGUGUUAGUGGAACGGUCUGGAAAGUCCGACGGUACAGGGUGAUAGUCCCGUACACCAAAAUGCACAGGUUGUGAACUCGAAGAGUAGGGCGGGACACGUGGUAUCCUGUCUGAAUAUGGGGGACCAUCCUCCAAGGCUAAAUACUCCUGACUGACCGAUAGUGAACCAGUACCGUGAGGGAAAGGCGAAAAAGACCCCGGCGAGGGGAGUGAAAAAGAACCUGAAACCGUGUACGUACAAGCAGUGGGAGCACCUUCGGGUGUGACUGCGUACCUUUUGUAUAAUGGGUCAGCGACUUAUAUUCUGUAGCAAGGUUAACCGUAUAGGGGAGCCGCAGGGAAACCGAGUCUUAA
This 448-nucleotide ribosomal RNA is filed under the name Klebsiella pneumoniae. Its description in RNAcentral is "bacterial LSU rRNA". It matches the Rfam family "Bacterial large subunit ribosomal RNA", at positions 195 to 687 of the family's 2925-position model. The record is from RNAcentral. Lineage: Bacteria; Pseudomonadati; Pseudomonadota; Gammaproteobacteria; Enterobacterales; Enterobacteriaceae.